RNAcentral lists this ribosomal RNA (523 nucleotides) under uncultured bacterium. RNAcentral describes it as "bacterial SSU rRNA". It matches the Rfam family "Bacterial small subunit ribosomal RNA", at positions 28 to 565 of the family's 1533-position model. The record is from RNAcentral.
AAUCAACGCUGGCGGCGUGCCUCAGACAUGCAAGUCGAACGAUUAAAGCUCCCUUCGGGGAGUGCAUAAAGUGGCGCACGGGUGAGUAACACGUAAGUAAUCUACCUCUGAGUGGGGAAUAACGUCCGGAAACGGACGCUAAUACCGCAUAACGCAGCGGCACCGCAAGGUGACAGUUGUUAAAGAUUUAUCGCUUGGAGAGGAGCUUGCGGCAGAUUAGCUAGUUGGUAAGGUAAUGGCUUACCAAGGCUACGAUCUGUAACCGGUCUAAGAGGACGGUCGGUCACACUGACACUGAACAACGGGUCAGACUCCUACGGGAGGCAGCAGUCGGGAAUUUUGGGCAAUGGGCGAAAGCCUGACCCAGCAACGCCGCGUGAAGGAUGAAGUAUUUCGGUAUGUAAACUUCGAAAGAAUGGGAAGAAUCAAUGACGGUACCAUUUAUAAGGUCCGGCUAACUACGUGCCAGCAGCCGCGGUAAUACGUAGGGACCAAGCGUUGUUCGGAUUUACUGGGCGGUAAA